AACGAACGCUGGCGGCAUGCCUAACACAUGCAAGUCGAACGAGACCUUCGGGUCUAGUUGCGCACGGGUGCGUAACGCGUGGGAAUCUGCCCUUGGGUUCGGAAUAACAGUGAGAAAUUACUGCUAAUACCGGAUGAUGUCUUCGGACCAAAGAUUUAUCGUCCAGGGAUGAGCCCGCGUAGGAUUAGCUAGUUGGUGGGGUAAUGGCCUACCAAGGCGACGAUCCUUAGCUGGUCUGAGAGGAUGAUCAGCCACACUGGGACUGAGACACGGCCCAGAAUACUACGGGAGGCAGGCGUGGGGAAUAUUGGAAGAUGGGCGCAAGCCUGAUCCAGCAAUGCCGCGUGAGUGAUGAAGGCCUUAGGGUUGUAAAGCUCUUUUACCCGGGAUGAUAAUGACAGUACCGGGAGAAUAAGCACCGGCUAACUCCGUG
This 433-nucleotide ribosomal RNA is filed under the name uncultured bacterium. RNAcentral's name for it is "partial 16S ribosomal RNA". It matches the Rfam family "Bacterial small subunit ribosomal RNA", at positions 29 to 507 of the family's 1533-position model. The record is from RNAcentral.